This 407-nucleotide ribosomal RNA is filed under the name Arabidopsis thaliana (thale cress). Lineage: Eukaryota; Viridiplantae; Streptophyta; Magnoliopsida; Brassicales; Brassicaceae. The record is from RNAcentral.
CUUUUCGGGCGUUUUAGUGAUUUGGGCUAUAUUACGGACCCAAAAUUACUUGUUCAAGCAUUGUUUUCGAAUUUUUUCAUGCAUCAAAGCUCGUUAAGACUAGAUGGGGUAUCCCUACAUAGCGGGUGGGACCCRCGGCGAAUGGUUCAUCAAGUCUUCAAAAAAGAAUAUAUACGAUUGCAUUGCAUAUACUAACGGAUGCGAUCAUACCAGCACUAAUGCACCGGAUCCCAUCAGAACUCCGCAGUUAAGCGUGCUUGGGCGAGAGUAGUACUAGGAUGGGUGACCUCUCGGGAAGUCCUCGUGUUGCAUCCCUCUUUUAUGUUUAACCUUUUUUUUUGGUUAAAACUUUAUGACUCCAUAACUUUUAGACCGUGAGGCCAAACUUGGCAUGUGAUACCUUUUCG